GUACUAACCUGGCCGGGGAGGUAGCAGGACCAGGGAGGGGCCCUUCCCAGGGCGAGGCUCGUCGGCUGCACUCCGACGUGCUGAGCCCUGCGAGUUCCCCAGGUGUGGGAAAGUCGGCUGCUUCCUUCGAGGUAGUGGGUGUCUGCGUUCGUGCUCUCCCUGA
This 163-nucleotide small nuclear RNA is filed under the name Dasypus novemcinctus (nine-banded armadillo). Its description in RNAcentral is "U1 spliceosomal RNA (ENSDNOG00000027216.1)". It matches the Rfam family "U1 spliceosomal RNA". Rfam says of the family: U1 is a small nuclear RNA (snRNA) component of the spliceosome (involved in pre-mRNA splicing). Its 5' end forms complementary base pairs with the 5' splice junction, thus defining the 5' donor site of an intron. Lineage: Eukaryota; Metazoa; Chordata; Mammalia; Cingulata; Dasypodidae. The record is from RNAcentral.